UACGUAGGGGGCUAGCGUUGUCCGGAAUCAUUGGGCGUAAAGAGCGUGUAGGCGGCCCGGUAAGUCCGCUGUAAAAGUCAAAGGCUCAACCUUUGAAUGUCAGUGGAUACUGCCGGGCUAGAGUCCGGAAGAGGCGAGUGGAACUCCUGGUGUAGCGGUGGAAUGCGCAGAUAUCAGGAAGAACACCAACGGCGAAGGCAGCUCGCUAGGACGGUACUGACGCUGAGGCGCGAAAGCGUGGGGAGCAAACAGG
RNAcentral lists this ribosomal RNA (253 nucleotides) under uncultured bacterium. RNAcentral describes it as "partial 16S ribosomal RNA". It matches the Rfam family "Bacterial small subunit ribosomal RNA", at positions 524 to 776 of the family's 1533-position model. The record is from RNAcentral.